This 449-nucleotide ribosomal RNA is filed under the name uncultured bacterium. RNAcentral describes it as "partial 16S ribosomal RNA". It matches the Rfam family "Bacterial small subunit ribosomal RNA", at positions 330 to 793 of the family's 1533-position model. The record is from RNAcentral.
CCCAGACUCCUACGGGAGGCAGCAGUGGGGAAUAUUGGGCAAUGGGCGCAAGCCUGACCCAGCAACGCCGCGUGAAGGAAGAAGGCUUUCGGGUUGUAAACUUCUUUUAAGAGGGACGAAGGAAGUGACGGUACCUCUUGAAUAAGCCACGGCUAACUACGUGCCAGCAGCCGCGGUAAUACGUAGGUGGCAAGCGUUAUCCGGAUUUAUUGGGUGUAAAGGGCGUGUAGGCGGGAGCGCAAGUCAGAUGUGAAAACUCAGGGCUCAACCCUGAGCCUGCAUUUGAAACUGUGUUUCUUGAGUGCUGGAGAGGCAAUCGGAAUUCCGUGUGUAGCGGUGAAAUGCGUAGAUAUACGGAGGAACACCAGUGGCGAAGGCGGAUUGCUGGACAGUAACUGACGCUGAGGCGCGAAAGCGUGGGGAGCAAACAGGAUUAGAUACCCGGGUAU